GGUAAGUCCAUAGCCUUCGAUAAUCAGCUUUAGUUGAUGUUUCCAUUGAACAAAUGUAUCUUCCCCAAGCUUCACUGUAUCAUGUCUAGGAAAUGACUGGACAAUUCGGUAAGAUCUUUCUCCAUCAGGAAAACAUGGCGAUGAGGAGCUACGGACAGGGGCAGAAUUUCUCAAGGACAUUGCUUCAUUUGCAGACACAUCAGGUGAAGUGGAAGCCAUUGAGCAUAGC
RNAcentral lists this long non-coding RNA (229 nucleotides) under Gossypium barbadense (sea-island cotton). RNAcentral's name for it is "long non-coding RNA (GBAR_LNC021657)". Lineage: Eukaryota; Viridiplantae; Streptophyta; Magnoliopsida; Malvales; Malvaceae. The record is from RNAcentral.